CUGAAGUGAAACAUACCGUUUUAUUAUAUCAAGUGCCAUGUCGUUUAUGUAUCCACCUUCUAUGAGACCAGGAUUAACAUUAAAAAUUAUUGA
Neltuma alba is the source of this 93-nucleotide long non-coding RNA. RefSeq lists it as uncharacterized. Lineage: Eukaryota; Viridiplantae; Streptophyta; Magnoliopsida; Fabales; Fabaceae. The transcript has 3 exons. The record is from RefSeq and is a predicted model, not a curated record.